RNAcentral lists this ribosomal RNA (245 nucleotides) under uncultured Eubacteriales bacterium. RNAcentral's name for it is "uncultured Clostridiales bacterium partial 16S ribosomal RNA". It matches the Rfam family "Bacterial small subunit ribosomal RNA", at positions 524 to 768 of the family's 1533-position model. Lineage: Bacteria; Bacillati; Bacillota; Clostridia; Eubacteriales. The record is from RNAcentral.
UACGUAGGGGGCGAGCGUUGUCCGGAAUGACUGGGCGUAAAGGGUGCGUAGGCGGUACGGCAAGUUGAUAGUGAAAUCCCGGGGCUCAACUCCGGUGCUACUGUCAAGACUGUCGAACUUGAGUGCGAGAGAGGUAAGCGGAAUUCCUAGUGUAGCGGUGGAAUGCGUAGAUAUUAGGAAGAACACCGGAGGCGAAAGCGGCUUACUGGCUCGUAACUGACGCUGAGGCACGAAAGCGUGGGGAG